Molecule: ribosomal RNA, 99 nt
Filed under: Macrotyphula phacorrhiza
Lineage: Eukaryota; Fungi; Basidiomycota; Agaricomycetes; Agaricales; Phyllotopsidaceae
Description: partial 5.8S ribosomal RNA
Rfam family: 5.8S ribosomal RNA
About the family: 5.8S ribosomal RNA (5.8S rRNA) is a component of the large subunit of the eukaryotic ribosome.
Source: RNAcentral
GAUAAGUAAUGUGAAUUGCAGAUUUCAGUGAAUCAUCGAAUCUUUGAACGCACCUUGCGCUCCUUGGUAUUCCGAGGAGCAUGCCUGUUUGAGUGUCAU